UACGAAGGGGGCUAGCGUUGCUCGGAAUCACUGGGCGUAAAGCGCACGUAGGCGGCUUCUUAAGUCAGGGGUGAAAUCCUGGAGCUCAACUCCAGAACUGCCUUUGAUACUGAGAAGCUUGAGUCCGGGAGAGGUGAGUGGAACUGCGAGUGUAGAGGUGAAAUUCGUAGAUAUUAGGAAGAACACCAGUGGCGAAGGCGGCUCACUGGUCCGGUACUGACGCUGAGGUGCGAAAGCGUGGGGAGCAAACGGG
RNAcentral lists this ribosomal RNA (253 nucleotides) under uncultured bacterium. RNAcentral's name for it is "partial 16S ribosomal RNA". It matches the Rfam family "Bacterial small subunit ribosomal RNA", at positions 524 to 776 of the family's 1533-position model. The record is from RNAcentral.